GUGGGGAAUAUUGCACAAUGGGGGGAACCCUGAUGCAGCAACGCCGCGUGAGUGAAGAAGUAUCUCGGUACGUAAAGCUCUAUCAGCAGGGAAGAAAAAAAGUCCUUUGGACUUUGGACGGUACCUGAUUAAGAAGCCCCGGCUAACUACGUGCCAGCAGCCGCGGUAAUACGUAGGGGGCAAGCGUUAUCCGGAUUUACUGGGUGUAAAGGGAGCGUAGACGGCAAUGCAAGUCUGGAGUGAAAUGCCAGGGCUUAACCCUGGAACUGCUCUGGAAACUGUAGAGCUAGAGUGCAGGAGAGGUAAGUGGAAUUCCUAGUGUAGCGGUGAAAUGCGUAGAUAUUAGGAGGAACACCGGUGGCGAAGGCGGCUUACUGGACUGUAACUGACGUUGAGGCUCGAAAGCGUGGGGAGCAAACAGGA
Molecule: ribosomal RNA, 423 nt
Filed under: uncultured bacterium
Lineage: Bacteria
Description: bacterial SSU rRNA
Rfam family: Bacterial small subunit ribosomal RNA
Source: RNAcentral